RNAcentral lists this ribosomal RNA (1353 nucleotides) under uncultured bacterium. RNAcentral describes it as "bacterial SSU rRNA". It matches the Rfam family "Bacterial small subunit ribosomal RNA", at positions 28 to 1381 of the family's 1533-position model. The record is from RNAcentral.
AUUGAACGCUGGCGGCAGGCUUAACACAUGCAAGUCGAACGAGGUUAGGGAGCUUGCUCCUGAUACCUAGUGGCGAACGGGUGAGUAAUGCUUAGGAAUCUGCCUGAUAGUGGGGGAUAACUUGGGGAAACUCAAGCUAAUACCGCAUACGUCCUACGGGAGAAAGGGGGCUUUUAGCUCUCGCUAUCAGAUGAGCCUAAGUCGGAUUAGCUAGUUGGUGGGGUAAAGGCCUACCAAGGCGACGAUCUGUAACUGGUCUGAGAGGAUGAUCAGUCACACCGGAACUGAGACACGGUCCGGACUCCUACGGGAGGCAGCAGUGGGGAAUAUUGGACAAUGGGCGAAAGCCUGAUCCAGCCAUGCCGCGUGUGUGAAGAAGGCCUUUUGGUUGUAAAGCACUUUAAGUAGGGAGGAAAAGCUAAUGGUUAAUACCCAUUAGCCCUGACGUUACCUACAGAAUAAGCACCGGCUAACUCUGUGCCAGCAGCCGCGGUAAUACAGAGGGUGCAAGCGUUAAUCGGAAUUACUGGGCGUAAAGCGAGCGUAGGUGGUUCAUUAAGUCAGAUGUGAAAUCCCCGGGCUUAACCUGGGAACUGCAUCUGAUACUGGUGAACUAGAGUAGGUGAGAGGGAAGUAGAAUUCCAGGUGUAGCGGUGAAAUGCGUAGAGAUCUGGAGGAAUACCGAUGGCGAAGGCAGCUUCCUGGCAUCAUACUGACACUGAGGUUCGAAAGCGUGGGUAGCAAACAGGAUUAGAUACCCUGGUAGUCCACGCCGUAAACGAUGUCUACUAGUCGUUGGAUCUCUUGAAGAUUUAGUGACGCAGUUAACGCGAUAAGUAGACCGCCUGGGGAGUACGGCCGCAAGGUUAAAACUCAAAUGAAUUGACGGGGGCCCGCACAAGCGGUGGAGCAUGUGGUUUAAUUCGAUGCAACGCGAAGAACCUUACCUGGUCUUGACAUAUCUAGAAUCUUGCAGAGAUGCGAGAGUGCCUUCGGGAAUUAGAAUACAGGUGCUGCAUGGCUGUCGUCAGCUCGUGUCGUGAGAUGUUGGGUUAAGUCCCGCAACGAGCGCAACCCUUUUCCUUAGUUACCAGCGAUUCGGUCGGGAACUCUAAGGAUACUGCCAGUGACAAACUGGAGGAAGGCGGGGACGACGUCAAGUCAUCAUGGCCCUUACGACCAGGGCUACACACGUGCUACAAUGGUAGGUACAAAGGGUUGCUACACAGCGAUGUGAUGCCAAUCUCAAAAAGCCUAUCGUAGUCCGGAUUGGAGUCUGCAACUCGACUCCGUGAAGUCGGAAUCGCUAGUAAUCGCAGAUCAGAAUGCUGCGGUGAAUACGUUCCCGGGCCU